UGGUGAAGAACCCAAGUCAGCAGCUAUUAGGGAACCACAAGAAGAGACUCGGGUAGUGUCUUCUGACAAUUAAUAGCAUGUCGUUCUUAUUAAUGGCGCUGAUGCACACACUUUUUAAUAUCUGUUCUGUUACAUAAGCCUAUAGAAGGCCUCUUUAACUCUUGUGGGAGUGAUUUUGUCUCUUUCAUUGUUGUAGGGGAAAAAGCUUGUUGUUUGUCUGCAGCUACUAAAAGUUCAGUUAUAUUAUGUCUUGAAAGCCUUAUAGGAAAUGAGUGCUUUCGAGGUCUUGAUCGCUUUCUUGGUGGUGAUGAUGUGAAGGAAAAAACGCCCGACCCUUCAAUUUAUCUUAUAGCUGCCAAGGUAAACAAUCUACAUUUUAAUUUGACAUUUGCGAAUGUGGAUAUCCACAUCUUCUACCUUCACUGCACAUUUCUAAAUAUCAAAACACUAACUGCCUAUGCCUGAUAGAGACUCAGAAUCUCAGUCAGAGAUUGUUUGGUUGUGGAGGACAGUGUUAUUGGGCUACAGAUAUUUCAUAAGGAGCCAUUCUUCUAUGGACAUGAUAACUACGAUCAGCUAGCGAAAAUAGCAGAGGUUCCGGAUGCAACUAGUGACCAUGAAAUUCGGAGGGAGUCUGUAGGAGAAGAAGGGAAUCCAGAUUCAAGCAGUGAUAGAGCAAUGGACUGAGUUUCAAUGUUAUUGCACAUAUUCUGACAGUGCAAUACUGAAAUUUUUGUUAAGUGUUACUCUUGGUUGUCUUCAUUAGGUGCUUGGUUUUGGGUAUAGCUUUGUACUUCUUCUAAUUACAUAUUCUGACAGUGCAACAACUUAAUUACAUUGCA
Long non-coding RNA from Rosa rugosa (rugosa rose), 842 nucleotides. RefSeq lists it as uncharacterized. The record is from RefSeq and is a predicted model, not a curated record. NCBI's taxonomy places the organism in Eukaryota, Viridiplantae, Streptophyta, Magnoliopsida, Rosales, Rosaceae. The transcript is spliced from 5 exons.